CUCAACCAGGAAACCGCUCUGCAAACUGGCAGGCGAGAGUAAGCUAGAGGUAGACGGAUGUCUCGGUGUAUCGGUGACAUGCGUUGAUAUCGCGAGGUAUACCAAUGGCGAAGCUAGUCUAUAGGGCCUCUUCUGACGCUCAGGCGCGAAAGCGUGGGUAGCAAUCAGGAUUAGAUACCCUGGUAGUCCACGCCCUUAUCGAUGGAUACUAGGCGUUAGGGGUAUCGACCCCCUUAGUGCCGCAGCAAACGCGAUAAGUAUCCCGCCUGGGGACUACGGCCGCAAGGCUGAUACUCCAAUGAAUUGUCGGGGACCCGCACAAACGGUGGAGCAUCUGGAUUAAUUCGAUACUAACCGAAGACUCUUACCCAGACUUGAUAUCGAGGGACCGGCUAUGAAAGUAGCCUUCCGCCUCACAAGGGCGGCCCAAAGACACCUGUUGCAUGGCUGUUGUCAGUUCGUGCCGUGAGGUGUUUGGUUAAGUCCAGCAACGAGCGCAACCCUCGUCCUAUGUUGCCUACAGGUAAAGCUGGGAACUCAUAGGAGACCGCCGGCGCAAGCCGGAGGAAGGUGAGGAUGACGUCAAGUCAGCAUGGCGGUUACGUCUGGGGCUUCACACAUGCUACAAUGGAUGCAACAAAGGGGAGCGAGACCGUGAGGUUUAGCGAAUCCCAGAAAUACAUCCUCAGUUCGGAUUGCAGUCUGCAACUCGACUGCAUGAAGUCGGAAUCGCUAGUAAACGCAGGUCAGCUAUACUGCGUUGAUACGUUCCCGGUGCUGUACACACCGCCCGUCA
RNAcentral lists this ribosomal RNA (796 nucleotides) under uncultured organism. RNAcentral's name for it is "bacterial SSU rRNA". It matches the Rfam family "Bacterial small subunit ribosomal RNA", at positions 608 to 1399 of the family's 1533-position model. The record is from RNAcentral.